UGUGACAGCAGAGAGACACAUGGCCGGGCAACGCCCCCUCAACGCUCACCGGUCACAUCCCGGGAGAUAUGAGCGGACAACUGACAAAACCUUCCCCGAACCACGGACACCAACAUGUGGGGCAGGUUGGGCCCAUUGAUUCAUGCUGAUGCUAAAUUCCGACCCGACCAUCUGCAGCCUCAGCAGAAAUCCAGAGCAGGCGACCGCUUUUCCAGUUUGCAGCUUUGGCCUGUUCUGGUGAAGCCGUUCUCAACGUCACCACCAGGGAGCAGCAGAAGACCAAUUUGAUGCACACUGUGGGAUCUGCAGGUAUCCGCAGGGGGCUGGAGGCAAUUCCAGCUGACAUUGGGCGAGAGGCGGGAUACAACCCCGGGGCAGGUCGACAGUCUUUCACAGGGGCUGACAAAGAAACACCAAUGCUGCACAUUCACACCUCCACCAACACAUUAACAGUGUACAGAUGUGACAAAUUUAUGUGAUGUAGAAAUUCAGAAAGGCUUACAAGAAAAAGAAUACAAUCCUCAACACCAAAGAUGGAUGGAACUCGCUUGCACUGAUUUUGAGAAUUCAGCGAAUUCUGAAAAUAUUGUCCAUAAGCAAGACGUUUACUUUUGAAUUCAAGUCUCUGCUUCACAUGAUGGAAGAUUUCACACAUGAUUGUGUUUUUUUUUUAUCUCUCUUUGGAACCAGAGCAAAAAGGUCGAGGCUGUUCUUUUGUUUUGUUUACCUCCACCAGAUGGUGGCGCUGUAAAGCUACGUCGACCCUGUCGACCAUGUGCUCCUCCCCAAGUCUCUCUGGCCCCUCGCUCCGCCCUCCCCGGCGA
Scophthalmus maximus (turbot) is the source of this 824-nucleotide long non-coding RNA. RefSeq lists it as uncharacterized. The record is from RefSeq and is a predicted model, not a curated record. The transcript has 4 exons. Lineage: Eukaryota; Metazoa; Chordata; Actinopteri; Pleuronectiformes; Scophthalmidae.